Molecule: non-coding RNA, 115 nt
Organism: Triticum aestivum (bread wheat)
Lineage: Eukaryota; Viridiplantae; Streptophyta; Magnoliopsida; Poales; Poaceae
Source: Rfam
UAUGUACUCCCUCCGUUCCGAAUUACUUGUCGCAUGUAUGGAUGUAUUUAGAUGUAUUUUAAUUCUAGAUACAUCCAUUCCAGCGACGAGUAAUUUGGAACGGAGGGAGUAAUAA